CCUACGGGUGGCAGCAGUGGGGAAUAUUGCUCAAUGGGGGAAACCCUGAUGCAGCAACGCCGCGUGGAGGAUGAAGGGUUUCUGCGUGUAAAGCCCUUUUGUCAGGGAAGUAAAUGACGGUACCUAACCAAGAAGCCCCGUCUAACUACGUUCCAGCAGCCGCGGUAAUACGGAGGGGGCAAGCGUUAUCCGGAGUUACUGGGUGUAAAGGGUGCGUAGGCGGAAUAGCAAGCCAGGAGUGAAAGCCUGUGGCGUAACCACGGAACUGCGGUUGGAACUGGAUGGCUUGAGUGCGGGAGGGGUAGGCGGAAUUCUUGGUGUAGAGGUGAAAUGCGUAGAGAUCAGGAGGAACGCCGAUUGCGAAGGCGGCCUGCUGGACCGUGACUGACGCUGAAGCCCGAAGGCGUGGGGAGCAAACAGGAUUAGAUACCCCAGUAGUC
RNAcentral lists this ribosomal RNA (440 nucleotides) under uncultured bacterium. RNAcentral's name for it is "partial 16S ribosomal RNA". It matches the Rfam family "Bacterial small subunit ribosomal RNA", at positions 338 to 795 of the family's 1533-position model. The record is from RNAcentral.